This 1127-nucleotide small RNA is filed under the name Saccharomyces cerevisiae (brewer's yeast). RNAcentral describes it as "AAD6". The record is from RNAcentral. Lineage: Eukaryota; Fungi; Ascomycota; Saccharomycetes; Saccharomycetales; Saccharomycetaceae.
AUGGCUGAUUUAUUUGCUCCUGCUCCUGAACCAUCUACAGAGUUAGGACGUCUCAGAGUUCUUUCUAAAAGUGCUGGUAUUAGAGUUUCCCCUCUCAUUUUGGGAGGAAUGUCAAUUGGCGACGCUUGGUCUGAAAUCCUAGGAUCAAUGAGCAAGGAGCGAGCUUUUGAGUUGCUCGAUGCUUUUUAUGAGGCAGGUGGAAAUUUCAUUGAUACUGCAAAUAAUUAUCAAAACGAACAGUCAGAAGCUUGGAUCGGUGAAUGGAUGGUUUCAAGAAAAUUACGCGACCAGAUUGUAAUCGCCACCAAGUUUACCACUGACUAUAAGAAAUACGACGUUGGUGGUGGUAAAAGCGCAAACUACUGUGGCAAUCACAAGCGUAGUUUGCAUGUGAGUGUGAGGGAUUCUCUCCGCAAAUUGCAAACUGAUUGGAUUGAUAUACUUUACGUUCACUGGUGGGAUUAUAUGAGUUCUAUCGAAGAAGUUAUGGAUAGUUUACACAUUCUAGUGCAGCAGGCAAGGUCCUCUAUUUGGGUGUGUCUGAUACGCCUGCCUGGGUUGUUUCUGCGGCAAAUUACUACGCUAAAUCUCAUGGUAAAACCCCUUUUAGCAUCUAUCAAGGUAAAUGGAACCUGUUGAACAGAGACUUCGAACGUGAUAUCAUUCCAAUGGCUAGGCAUUUCGGUAUGGCCCUCGCCCCAUGGGAUGUCAUGGGAGGUGGAAGAUUUCAGAGUAAAAAAGCAAUGGAGGAACGGAGGAAGAAUGGAGAGGGUAUUCGUUCUUUCGUUGGCGCCUCUGAACAAACAGAUGCAGAAAUCAAGAUUAGUGAAGCAUUGGCCAAGGUUGCUGAGGAACAUGGCACUGAAUCUGUUACUGCUAUUGCUAUUGCCUAUGUUCGCUCUAAGGCGAAAAAUGUUUUUCCAUUGGUUGGAGGAAGGAAAAUUGAACACCUCAAACAGAACAUUGAGGCUUUGAGCAUUAAAUUAACACCAGAACAAAUAAAGUACUUAGAAAGUAUUAUUCCUUUUGAUGUUGGUUUUCCUACUAAUUUUAUCGGUGAUGAUCCGGCUGUUACCAAGAAGGCUUCACUUCUCACGGCAAUGUCUGCGCAGAUUUCCUUCGAUUAA